UGCAUUAGGGCUCAGAUUUUGCCAUUCGAACAUGCAAAAGGAAAGCGAUAUCGCCAUGGCUGCAGAUACAGAUUUACAAAUGAUGCCAUCUUGGGUCGCCCCGCCAAGAUACGGAUCUGAUCUUCUCAAUGCAGUGAAAAUCAUCAUCACUGCCCAUUUUUUCAUAUCAAUCGACAUUCUAGUAAAUGGGCUACUUAGUUGUUUGAUGGCUAAAUUAUCAUCACAGACACUUUUUAAAGAUAGG
RNAcentral lists this long non-coding RNA (244 nucleotides) under Capsicum annuum. Its description in RNAcentral is "long non-coding RNA (CANN_LNC009476)". Lineage: Eukaryota; Viridiplantae; Streptophyta; Magnoliopsida; Solanales; Solanaceae. The record is from RNAcentral.